GGUGGAGGGAAGGGAAUUAAGAGCAAGAAGACCACGUCAGGCUGCUGCCUUGGCCGGCAGGAAACAAGAGUGUGUAAAGAAAGCUGCUGACUCCUUAAGAGAGCUUUGCUUAUGAAGCUGAACUCAAAACUCACUGAGGCACCAACAGAAACACCAAUUAUGCCAUGACAAGGUGACCACUGGUAACUCACUGAGGCACCAACAGAAACACCAAUUAUGCCAUGACAAGGUGACCACUGGUAACUCACUGAGGCACUAACAGAAACACCAAUUAUGCCAUGACAAGGUGACCACUGGUAACUCACUGAGGCACCAACAGAAACACCAAUUAUGCCAUGACAAGGUGACCACUGGUAACUCACUGAGGCACCAACAGAAACACCAAUUAUGCCAUGACAAGGUGACCACUGGUAACUCACUGAGGCACCAACAGAAACACCAAUUAUGCCAUGACAAGGUGACCACUGGUAACUCACUGAGGCACCAACAGAAACACCAAUUAUGCCAUGACAAGGUGACCACUGGUAACUCACUGAGGCACUAACAGAAACACCAAUUAUGCCAUGACAAGGUGACCACUGGUAACUCACUGAGGCACUAACAGAAACACCAAUUAUGCCAUGACAAGGUGACCACUGGUAACUCACUGAGGCACUAACAGAAACACCAAUUAUGCCAUGACAAGGUGACCACUGGUAACUCACUGAGGCACUAACAGAAACACCAAUUAUGCCAUGACAAGGUGACCACUGGUAACUCACUGAGACACUAACAGAAACACCAAUUAUGCCAUGACAAGG
Long non-coding RNA from Eriocheir sinensis (Chinese mitten crab), 800 nucleotides. RefSeq lists it as uncharacterized. Lineage: Eukaryota; Metazoa; Arthropoda; Malacostraca; Decapoda; Varunidae. The record is from RefSeq and is a predicted model, not a curated record. The transcript is spliced from 3 exons.